Molecule: long non-coding RNA, 1013 nt
Organism: Schistocerca piceifrons (Central American locust)
Lineage: Eukaryota; Metazoa; Arthropoda; Insecta; Orthoptera; Acrididae
Exons: 5
Source: RefSeq, a predicted model, not a curated record
UUCAAAGAAAUUCGUCAAAGUGCUAUGGAAAACUGUAAUUGUAGUUUACACAAUUCAAUGAUCUUUGAAAGUUUGCAAGAGUUCAUGCUCCGAUGAGUGUAUGCAUGUAUAUAGGUAAUAAGACGAAGAUGUUAUGGACUUAGGCUUAUCUUUUGUGCACUGAAAACUUUGAAGAAUUUUGUAUCGGUAACAACAGAUGGAUUGAGAUACAAAUGUACAUGUAGGCUCCCACAAAUGGCAUAACCUGCCCAGUAUUCAUACAGUUGCACGAGAUAAACCUCCUACAACCUCACUAAAUAGACAUCAUCACGGCUGCUCUUCCUCUAAGGCUGACUUCAUAUUUCUAAAGCAGGACAUGAUGGCAUGAAAUAAACAAUCCAACCAGCAGGUAUCUGUAGCAUCUUAAAACUGGAAAUGAUGGUAUGUUAUACUUGUGGAAGAGCAGAGGGAGAUAGUAACUGUGGACUUGGAGAAUCUACAAUGAAAAUUCCUAUAUGGUGAACAGAAGCAAGAGGAUGUACAGUUACAUCGCCGACAGUCUUUUAGCGAAGGUUAGUAAAAAGCUGAACAGCUUUUCAUUUAACUUAGUUCCUUCUGCACGAUGUAUGGCGAUGCUGGUGCGUCAUACCAGGAUUACUGAUGCGGCACUGCGCAUUGAACCGCAGAUGGCAUCUCGACAGCUGCUGUGUGUGCAUGGCCCGCAACAGUAGGCACGGUUCAGGGCGCAACGGACAACUGCAGUGGGGUGAGACUGGCUUCUUGUGAUGCCGGCAGCACAACUAGAUUCAGAGCCAGCUUCAUCAAUCCAGAUGUGUUGUAAUCGAAGGUGUCGUUAAUCCAAUUGCGUUGCCAAUGUGCACACGUAACACUGUUAAUCACUGUUCUAUUGUUCAGUUGCGUGUCGCAUUUCACUUCCGAGUCCGAAUAAUUAAAAUCACUUUCACUCAGUUUAACAGUGUUCUUCCCGGCCGAUUAGCACCAUAUGUGGGGCAGCGGGUGGAAAAUAAGGUUUU